ACUCCUACGGGAGGCAGCAGUGGGGAAUAUUGCACAAUGGGCGCAAGCCUGAUGCAGCCAUGCCGCGUGUAUGAAGAAGGCCUUCGGGUUGUAAAGUACUUUCAGCAGUGAGGAAGGCGGGUGUGUUAAUAGCGCAUUCGUUUGACGUUAGCUGCAGAAGAAGCACCGGCUAACUCCGUGCCAGCAGCCGCGGUAAUACGGAGGGUGCGAGCGUUAAUCGGAAUUACUGGGCGUAAAGCGCAUGCAGGUGGUUUGUUAAGUCAGAUGUGAAAGCCCGGGGCUCAACCUCGGAAUUGCAUUUGAAACUGGCAGACUAGAGUACUGUAGAGGGGGGUAGAAUUUCAGGUGUAGCGGUGAAAUGCGUAGAGAUCUGAAGGAAUACCGGUGGCGAAGGCGGCCCCCUGGACAGAUACUGACACUCAGAUGCGAAAGCGUGGGGAGCAAACAGGAUUAGAUACCCUGGUA
This 465-nucleotide ribosomal RNA is filed under the name uncultured bacterium. RNAcentral describes it as "bacterial SSU rRNA". It matches the Rfam family "Bacterial small subunit ribosomal RNA", at positions 335 to 792 of the family's 1533-position model. The record is from RNAcentral.